Transfer RNA from Pseudogymnoascus pannorum, 77 nucleotides. It matches the Rfam family "tRNA". Rfam says of the family: Transfer RNA (tRNA) molecules are approximately 80 nucleotides in length. Their secondary structure includes four short double-helical elements and three loops (D, anti-codon, and T loops). Lineage: Eukaryota; Fungi; Ascomycota; Leotiomycetes; Thelebolales; Thelebolaceae. The record is from Rfam.
GUUCCCAUAGCUCAGUGGUAGAGCGCGGCAUUUUGUCUAAAGCGCCGGUGCCUAUGGUUCGAAUCCAUAUGGGAGCG